Molecule: ribosomal RNA, 2906 nt
Filed under: Escherichia coli
Lineage: Bacteria; Pseudomonadati; Pseudomonadota; Gammaproteobacteria; Enterobacterales; Enterobacteriaceae
Description: 23S ribosomal RNA
Rfam family: Bacterial large subunit ribosomal RNA
Source: RNAcentral
GGUUAAGCGACUAAGCGUACACGGUGGAUGCCCUGGCAGUCAGAGGCGAUGAAGGACGUGCUAAUCUGCGAUAAGCGUCGGUAAGGUGAUAUGAACCGUUAUAACCGGCGAUUUCCGAAUGGGGAAACCCAGUGUGUUUCGACACACUAUCAUUAACUGAAUCCAUAGGUUAAUGAGGCGAACCGGGGGAACUGAAACAUCUAAGUACCCCGAGGAAAAGAAAUCAACCGAGAUUCCCCCAGUAGCGGCGAGCGAACGGGGAGCAGCCCAGAGCCUGAAUCAGUGUGUGUGUUAGUGGAAGCGUCUGGAAAGGCGCGCGAUACAGGGUGACAGCCCCGUACACAAAAAUGCACAUGCUGUGAGCUCGAUGAGUAGGGCGGGACACGUGGUAUCCUGUCUGAAUAUGGGGGGACCAUCCUCCAAGGCUAAAUACUCCUGACUGACCGAUAGUGAACCAGUACCGUGAGGGAAAGGCGAAAAGAACCCCGGCGAGGGGAGUGAAAAAGAACCUGAAACCGUGUACGUACAAGCAGUGGGAGCACGCUUAGGCGUGUGACUGCGUACCUUUUGUAUAAUGGGUCAGCGACUUAUAUUCUGUAGCAAGGUUAACCGAAUAGGGGAGCCGAAGGGAAACCGAGUCUUAACUGGGCGUUAAGUUGCAGGGUAUAGACCCGAAACCCGGUGAUCUAGCCAUGGGCAGGUUGAAGGUUGGGUAACACUAACUGGAGGACCGAACCGACUAAUGUUGAAAAAUUAGCGGAUGACUUGUGGCUGGGGGUGAAAGGCCAAUCAAACCGGGAGAUAGCUGGUUCUCCCCGAAAGCUAUUUAGGUAGCGCCUCGUGAAUUCAUCUCCGGGGGUAGAGCACUGUUUCGGCAAGGGGGUCAUCCCGACUUACCAACCCGAUGCAAACUGCGAAUACCGGAGAAUGUUAUCACGGGAGACACACGGCGGGUGCUAACGUCCGUCGUGAAGAGGGAAACAACCCAGACCGCCAGCUAAGGUCCCAAAGUCAUGGUUAAGUGGGAAACGAUGUGGGAAGGCCCAGACAGCCAGGAUGUUGGCUUAGAAGCAGCCAUCAUUUAAAGAAAGCGUAAUAGCUCACUGGUCGAGUCGGCCUGCGCGGAAGAUGUAACGGGGCUAAACCAUGCACCGAAGCUGCGGCAGCGACGCUUAUGCGUUGUUGGGUAGGGGAGCGUUCUGUAAGCCUGUGAAGGUGUGCUGUGAGGCAUGCUGGAGGUAUCAGAAGUGCGAAUGCUGACAUAAGUAACGAUAAAGCGGGUGAAAAGCCCGCUCGCCGGAAGACCAAGGGUUCCUGUCCAACGUUAAUCGGGGCAGGGUGAGUCGACCCCUAAGGCGAGGCCGAAAGGCGUAGUCGAUGGGAAACAGGUUAAUAUUCCUGUACUUGGUGUUACUGCGAAGGGGGGACGGAGAAGGCUAUGUUGGCCGGGCGACGGUUGUCCCGGUUUAAGCGUGUAGGCUGGUUUUCCAGGCAAAUCCGGAAAAUCAAGGCUGAGGCGUGAUGACGAGGCACUACGGUGCUGAAGCAACAAAUGCCCUGCUUCCAGGAAAAGCCUCUAAGCAUCAGGUAACAUCAAAUCGUACCCCAAACCGACACAGGUGGUCAGGUAGAGAAUACCAAGGCGCUUGAGAGAACUCGGGUGAAGGAACUAGGCAAAAUGGUGCCGUAACUUCGGGAGAAGGCACGCUGAUAUGUAGGUGAAGUCCCUCGCGGAUGGAGCUGAAAUCAGUCGAAGAUACCAGCUGGCUGCAACUGUUUAUUAAAAACACAGCACUGUGCAAACACGAAAGUGGACGUAUACGGUGUGACGCCUGCCCGGUGCCGGAAGGUUAAUUGAUGGGGUUAGCCGCAAGGCGAAGCUCUUGAUCGAAGCCCCGGUAAACGGCGGCCGUAACUAUAACGGUCCUAAGGUAGCGAAAUUCCUUGUCGGGUAAGUUCCGACCUGCACGAAUGGCGUAAUGAUGGCCAGGCUGUCUCCACCCGAGACUCAGUGAAAUUGAACUCGCUGUGAAGAUGCAGUGUACCCGCGGCAAGACGGAAAGACCCCGUGAACCUUUACUAUAGCUUGACACUGAACAUUGAGCCUUGAUGUGUAGGAUAGGUGGGAGGCUUUGAAGUGUGGACGCCAGUCUGCAUGGAGCCGACCUUGAAAUACCACCCUUUAAUGUUUGAUGUUCUAACGUUGACCCGUGAUCCGGGUUGCGGACAGUGUCUGGUGGGUAGUUUGACUGGGGCGGUCUCCUCCUAAAGAGUAACGGAGGAGCACGAAGGUUGGCUAAUCCUGGUCGGACAUCAGGAGGUUAGUGCAAUGGCAUAAGCCAGCUUGACUGCGAGCGUGACGGCGCGAGCAGGUGCGAAAGCAGGUCAUAGUGAUCCGGUGGUUCUGAAUGGAAGGGCCAUCGCUCAACGGAUAAAAGGUACUCCGGGGAUAACAGGCUGAUACCGCCCAAGAGUUCAUAUCGACGGCGGUGUUUGGCACCUCGAUGUCGGCUCAUCACAUCCUGGGGCUGAAGUAGGUCCCAAGGGUAUGGCUGUUCGCCAUUUAAAGUGGUACGCGAGCUGGGUUUAGAACGUCGUGAGACAGUUCGGUCCCUAUCUGCCGUGGGCGCUGGAGAACUGAGGGGGGCUGCUCCUAGUACGAGAGGACCGGAGUGGACGCAUCACUGGUGUUCGGGUUGUCAUGCCAAUGGCACUGCCCGGUAGCUAAAUGCGGAAGAGAUAAGUGCUGAAAGCAUCUAAGCACGAAACUUGCCCCGAGAUGAGUUCUCCCUGACCCUUUAAGGGUCCUGAAGGAACGUUGAAGACGACGACGUUGAUAGGCCGGGUGUGUAAGCGCAGCGAUGCGUUGAGCUAACCGGUACUAAUGAACCGUGAGGCUUAACCUU